RNAcentral lists this long non-coding RNA (853 nucleotides) under Brachypodium distachyon (stiff brome). RNAcentral's name for it is "long non-coding RNA (BDIS_LNC003730)". The record is from RNAcentral. Lineage: Eukaryota; Viridiplantae; Streptophyta; Magnoliopsida; Poales; Poaceae.
CCAAAAAUAUUUAGUGACAUACUAACAUUAAUUAGAACUUUAUGUUUGCAUGUGGUUUGACUUAAUUUGACCAUGUUUAAUAAGUUUUCGGAAUUCAGUGAAUAAGAGUGGCCCUUGAUUUCCGGGAUCAACUCCAUGCAUCCAGAUAAAACCUUAAACGACCAUGGAUCGACCUCUGGUUCCAGAUCGAUCCAUCCAUCCCCAUCUUCGACAUUACCAAAUCACGGCCUUGACCUGAAAUCUUGGAGCACAGCUUACACGCCUGUCUCGACGCAGCUGACAUAUCACAUCAGAGGAGAAGGAACCAUCCAUAUAUGCACCCAUCAACCCGGGGCAAUCAGGCGCCGACAUUGCCGUGUCCCCUAGGGGCCUACCGCUCCCAACGUGAGGCGAGCCGCUCCUCCGUCGGCGCAUCGUACAACCCCCUGUCGUCGUCUUGGCACGCGACAGCCAGAAAAAAAAAAACCCGAUCAAGCAGCUCGGUCGCGGCCGGGCACGUACGUACUUCUCGUCAGGUCCAUUUCGGAUCUCCUAUAUAUGGGCCGUCGCCGUCGUGCCUGCGUCCCCAAAGGACAAAUCGGGCCUGGCCGUGACGUAUGGCAAGGGGCGAGCCUCGCAGAAGUAGCCCGGCCUGACAGACCCACAUCUUGUGUGCCCAGGAAGUUAAUACAACUCCCGAUAUGUACACAGGCAGAAGCAGCCGUCGUCUUCUCCCAUGCGUGUUUUCGUUUUCACGAGUCUAUUAAUUACCGCGGUCCGGCCGUACUAGUUGUCUAUACGAAGAUGACAAGCUACGAGGAAAAAAAAUCUGUGCAAUGCAAUGCCAUGAAGCGGUUCUAGAUCGGCCUCGAAC